AGCAUUAAAUAUUAAAAUAAUCUAAUAUAUACACACUUUAUACAUAAUUAGUAGUAUAUAAUUUUUGUAUAUUUAGCUAACCGUUAGUAAUGUAAUUAUUUAUGGCUGACCAUCUUCAAAAGAAAACAGAUUAAAUUAUGAGAUUUACUGAAAAGACCCUCUGAUAAAUUGACUAUUUUAUCUUCCUGCACCAAAAACAAAAAAGCCUCCCAAUAGAAUAACAUAAUCCAAGAAGAUCUAUUGGUACAUUGCCUUUUGAAGUUCUUGAUCUGUUCUUCUGAUUCCCAUUAAUGACUAAGCUGGAAUCAAUGGAAGACAUAUCAAAGAAGAUGGCAAAGAGGAACCAUGGAUCCACCAAAUUCUUUGUGAUUGUAGAUUAUGUUUACCUCUUCAUAUUCUUUUGUUUCCUUUGCUUCUUUCUUGUCAAAAUGGUUGGAAUUUGAUCCAUCCAGGUGACGGUAAGCUUGUCUGCAGAUCAAAGGAAUGCUGAAUUCGAGAACUUCCGUUGGUUAACUCCAAUUCAAAGUUUAUUUUCUUCACCUUUUGGCUAGUGAGAUUUGGAGAGGAAUGAAGUUGUAAAUGUUCAGUGGUGAGUGAACAAUACAAAUUACAUGUAAACGUUCUUUAUAUAUGCAAACUCCAGUAGAUCUCUUGGUGGACUUGAUUAUCCUUUUAAUGUGAUAUGGAUCUGAAAGUUUGAGCCUCAA
Lycium barbarum (goji berry) is the source of this 707-nucleotide long non-coding RNA. RefSeq lists it as uncharacterized. The record is from RefSeq and is a predicted model, not a curated record. NCBI's taxonomy places the organism in Eukaryota, Viridiplantae, Streptophyta, Magnoliopsida, Solanales, Solanaceae. The transcript has 2 exons.